UUUCAAACUGGAUAACUACCCCCGCAUGAUGUGGCAGAAGCUAAAGUAAAUGUGGUGAGGCUGCCCAUUCUAUACUAGUACAGUA
RNAcentral lists this small nucleolar RNA (85 nucleotides) under Ictidomys tridecemlineatus (thirteen-lined ground squirrel). Lineage: Eukaryota; Metazoa; Chordata; Mammalia; Rodentia; Sciuridae. The record is from RNAcentral.